CCUACGGGGGGCUGCAGUGAGGAAUAUUCCACAAUGGGCGAAAGCCUGAUGGAGCAACGCCGCGUGCAGGAUGAAGGCCUUCGGGUCGUAAACUGCUUUUAUAAGUGAAUAACAUGAAUGUAUCUUAUGAAUAAGCACCGGCUAACUACGUGCCAGCAGCCGCGGUCAUACGUAGGGUGCAAGCAUUAUCCGGAGUGACUGGGCGUAAAGAGUUGCGUAGGUGGUUUAUCAAGUGAAUAGUGAAAUCUGGUGGCUCAACCACAUAGACUAUUAUUCAAACUGGUAAACUCGAGAGUAGCAGAGGUAACUGGAAUUUCUAGUGUAGGAGUGAAAUCCGUAGAUAUUAGAAGGAACACCAAUGGCAUAGGCAGGUUACUGGGCUAUUUCUGACACUAAGGCACGAAAGCGUGGGGAGCGAACCGGCUUAGAUACCCCUGUAGUC
RNAcentral lists this ribosomal RNA (442 nucleotides) under uncultured bacterium. Its description in RNAcentral is "bacterial SSU rRNA". It matches the Rfam family "Bacterial small subunit ribosomal RNA", at positions 338 to 795 of the family's 1533-position model. The record is from RNAcentral.